This 2965-nucleotide unclassified non-coding RNA is filed under the name Hevea brasiliensis (rubber tree). Lineage: Eukaryota; Viridiplantae; Streptophyta; Magnoliopsida; Malpighiales; Euphorbiaceae. The record is from RNAcentral.
CCCGCCCAUCCAUUUAUUCCUCUUAAUAAAAAAGAAAAACCAAAAACCCUAAUUGUAGGCAAGUCAAAAGAAAACCUCAUUCUCUCUGCAUAUCCUCUGUACACUGCCCCUUCCUCGCCUUUUCUCCUUCCUCUGCGGCCGCCGGAUACAACCGCAUCAUGGCUGGGAAGCGAAAAACGACUUCCUCCUCUGGAACCGCAUCUUCCAAGAAGCCAAAAAGACUGGCCGCAGACGAGGAGGUGUUUCCGUUGAAUGGUGAAGAGGAGGAAGUGAAUCAGGUGGAUGAACAAGGAGCUAAGAUGAGUUCUCAUGCGAAACCUCAUUCUCAAAGGAACGAGAAUGGCCGUGGUAGAUCUGCUAAAAAUGCUGCUUCUGAAGAGGAAUCGACUAAAAAUGAGAAUGUUAAUGGUGAUGUUAGCGAUGAAGAUGUGCCUGAAGCUAGAUUUGUCAGCGCUCCUGUGCCUGAUGAAGAGGCUAGAACUCGGUGGCCUCAUCGCUAUGUGAAGAAGACAAAUAAACAAGCAACAGGCUCAAAGAGUUCAAAUACUAAGGAUGAUUCUGAAGAGAUCAUUCCAGCUCGGUGCCAUUACAUACAAGCAGAGGUUGAUGGACGCUUCAUCUACAAUCUUUAUGAUGAUGCUCAUGUCAAAGCUGAGGAUGGAGAGGACAGCUAUAUAUGCAAGAUUGUGGAGAUGUUUGAGGCUAUUGAUGGGAAAUUUUACUUCACAGCUCAAUGGUUCUACAGAGCUAAGGAUACUAGCAUCAAGCAUGCCUACGAUAUGGAUAAAAAACGUGUUUUCUUUUCAGAGAUUCGGGAUGACAAUCCAUUGGAUUGUCUUGUUGAAAAGCUGAAUAUUGUGAAGGUGGAUUUAGAGGGAAAAAAGGCAAAGAUCUCUUCUUGUGAUUAUUUCUGUGAUAUGCUCUACUUGCUUCCAUAUUCCACCUUUGUUAAAUUACCACCAGAGAACACAACUAUUAGCAAUGAAAGUUCAUCCACAUUAUCUAGUGAUGAUGAUAUGAAUGAAGUGAAGUCUAGCAAUGAUACUUUUCAUAAAUCAGAGGUUACAUUGUUGGAUUUGUAUUCUGGUUGUGGUGCUAUGUCAACAGGCCUGUGCCUUGGUGCCAAUUUGUCUGGUUUAAACCUUGUUACUAAAUGGGCUGUUGACUUGAACAAAUAUGCCUGUGAGAGUCUAAGAUUAAACCACCCUGAGACAGAGGUGAGAAAUGAAUCUGCAGAGGAUUUUUUGUUAUUGCUGAAAGAAUGGGAGAAACUCUGCAUUAGGUUUUUGCUUAUAACUAGCAGUGAUCCAGAAAAGCAACAGUCUUAUCCUUUUGAUUUGGAAGAAGAUGGAGAUGAUCAAGAUGAUGAUGAUGAAGAUGGGAAUGACGAUGAAGAGGCUUUUGAAGUAGCGAAGAUACUCCAAAUUUGCUAUGGUGACCCAAAGGAUAAAGGGGAGCGUGGAUUAUACUUUAAGGUUAGCUGGAAGAAUUAUGGGCCUGAAUAUAACACGUGGGAACCCAUUGAUGGCUUGGGUAAUUGUCAGAAGGCUAUAAAGGACUUCGUCACAAAUGGGUAUAAGUCGAGGAUUCUACCAUUGCCUGGUGAUGUAGAUGUGAUUUGUGGCGGGCCGCCAUGUCAAGGCAUUAGUGGAUUCAACCGUUUUAGAAAUAGAAAUAAUCCUUUGGAAGAUGAGAAAAACAAGCAACUCAUAGUUUUCAUGGAUGUUGUCAAGUAUUUGAAGCCAAAGUUCGUUUUAAUGGAGAAUGUUGUGGAUAUUCUUAAAUUUGCUGAUGGAUUUCUAGGGCGAUAUGCCAUGGGUCGACUUAUUGAGAUGAACUAUCAAACAAGAAUUGGCAUGUUGGCUGCUGGGGCAUAUGGCCUUCCUCAGUUUCGGAUGCGUGUUUUUCUUUGGGGUGCCCGUCCUACUGAGAAGUUGCCGCAAUACCCACUUCCAACACAUGAUGUCCUUGUCCGUGGAGUUGUUCCUGUUGAGUUUGAUAGUAAUGUUGUUGCCUAUGAUGAAGGCUGCGUUGCUCCGUUGGAAAAGAAACUUUUUCUGGAGGAUGCAAUAUCUGACCUCCCACCAGUUGAGAACAAUGAACAUCGUGAUGAAAUGCCUUAUGCCUCGGAUCCUAAAACAAAAUUUCAGCGGCAGAUUAGACUAAGAAAAGAUGAAUUGUUAGAUGCUUCAUUGAAGUCAAAGUCAUCACAAUGCUUGCUAUAUGAUCAUCGUCCACUUGAGCUGAAUAGUGAUGAUUAUCAACGUGUUUGCCGGAUACCAAAGAAAAAGGGAGCAAACUUUAGAGAUCUUCCAGGUGUUCGUGUGCGUCCUGAUAACAAAGUUGAAUGGGAUCCAGAUGUUGAGAGGGUUUAUCUGGAUUCAGGAAAGCCUUUGGUCCCCGAUUAUGCCAUGACUUUUGUGAAUGGGUCAUCAUCAAAGCCAUUUGCCCGUCUUUGGUGGGAUGAGACUGUGCCAACUGUUGUUACAAGGGCUGAACCUCACAAUCAGGCAAUUUUGCAUCCUGAACAAGAUCGAGUACUGACAAUUCGUGAAAAUGCAAGACUCCAAGGUUUUCCUGAUUACUAUAAACUUUGUGGACCCAUAAAAGAAAGAUAUAUCCAAGUUGGAAAUGCUGUUGCUGUUCCGGUUGCUAGGGCACUUGGUUAUGCGUUAGGCAUGGCAUUCCAGGGAUCUGCAAAUAGUGAACCUUUGUUCACAUUGCCAAAGAAAUUCCCAAAUAUUGUGGAACAAAUAUCUUCAGCAUCUUCAGAAGACGAUGCUUGAUUGUUGUAUUGGCCAACACAAAAUGUAACAUACAUUCCAUUUGGCUGAUGAUUAUUUAUCCCAUUGUUGUAAUUGUACCAUAUGAAACAUUCUUCAAUGAAUGCUCUUGUAUUGAAGAUUAGAAGUGAAAAAUCUUCAAAGUGUCAAGGUUCUUUAGUUUUACCAUAUCUUUAUUGUUU